AAUAAGUAAGGUAAUUAAAUAUGAAUAAAUAGCAGAUAAACUCCAUAUAUGAGACCUUCCAAAACAAUUCCGCCUAAUUUGAUGCAAAAACAGAAAAGUAAAGCAGAAGAACUUGAUGGGAGGAAAAAGAAGUACCCGAGGUGCAAGGUUGUCAUUAAAUCUCCAUUCUCAGCUCUGCUUUUGCAGACAGCUUCUGGACUUGAGGCACCAUUUCUUAUGGGAGAAUUUCUAGUUUCAGGAUUGUAUUCAGGGUAACCUCCCACUGGGCUUGCACUUACUGGAAAAUAACUUUGAAGCUCCUCAAUCUGAAAAUGGGGGAGGAAUCAAUGAAAUUUUGUGUCAGGUGUGAAAAAUAACAAAGAUAAGUGAAAAAUGACAAGGAUUUGCCUGUUUGCGCAAAUUCGUAUUCUCCAUCAUGACUCGCUGUUCCUGAUAGAAAGUAAGACAAAAUGUUAUCAUGAUGUGACAAUAGGUUUUAGGACUAAUAACUCCAGGAACAACUGCUACAACAUUUACUGUGAUUUUGUCUUUCUCUGAUCGUAAUCCAAUAUCUUAUUCUUUAUACACAUUGGCAAUAGAUUUAAAGGCGAUAUUAUUUCAUCCUGAGUGAAGUUGAAGGAAGUUUCCAGUAAAAGCAAACCAAAAUUGAAACAUGCUUGUUAAGUCGUCGACUAGUCGUCGCCUAGGCGACGACUAGGCGUCAAGUCUGAAAAAAAUUUCGAGUCGUUGGGACGACUUGGUUGGAAAGCAGAAAGGCGCGCGCUCAGACACCGACUCGGACGCCUUGGACGACUUCCGAGCGACUUGGACGACUA
Molecule: long non-coding RNA, 815 nt
Filed under: Panax ginseng (ginseng)
Lineage: Eukaryota; Viridiplantae; Streptophyta; Magnoliopsida; Apiales; Araliaceae
Description: long non-coding RNA (PGIN_LNC004899)
Source: RNAcentral